Molecule: small RNA, 28 nt
Filed under: Bombyx mori (domestic silkworm)
Lineage: Eukaryota; Metazoa; Arthropoda; Insecta; Lepidoptera; Bombycidae
Description: ovarian small RNA-16825
Source: RNAcentral
GCGAGCGGAGUCCGACUCCGGUGUCACG